UGGGGCGUAGCCAAGCGGUAAGGCAACGGGUUUUGGUCCCGUCAUGCGGAGGUUCGAAUCCUCCCGCCCCAGCAA
This 75-nucleotide transfer RNA is filed under the name Calditrichales bacterium. RNAcentral's name for it is "tRNA-Gln". It matches the Rfam family "tRNA". From Rfam's summary of the family: Transfer RNA (tRNA) molecules are approximately 80 nucleotides in length. Their secondary structure includes four short double-helical elements and three loops (D, anti-codon, and T loops). Further hydrogen bonds mediate the characteristic L-shaped molecular structure. tRNAs have two regions of fundamental functional importance: the anti-codon, which is responsible for specific mRNA codon recognition, and the 3' end, to which the tRNAs corresponding amino acid is attached (by aminoacyl-tRNA synthetases). tRNAs cope with the degeneracy of the genetic code in two manners: having more than one tRNA (with a specific anti-codon) for a particular amino acid; and 'wobble' base-pairing, i.e. permitting non-standard base-pairing at the 3rd anti-codon position. The record is from RNAcentral. Lineage: Bacteria; Pseudomonadati; Calditrichota; Calditrichia; Calditrichales.